This 168-nucleotide ribosomal RNA is filed under the name uncultured Heliobacteriaceae bacterium. RNAcentral describes it as "partial 16S ribosomal RNA". It matches the Rfam family "Bacterial small subunit ribosomal RNA", at positions 338 to 523 of the family's 1533-position model. The record is from RNAcentral. Lineage: Bacteria; Bacillati; Bacillota; Clostridia; Eubacteriales; Heliobacteriaceae.
CCUACGGGAGGCAGCAGUAGGGAAUCUUCGGCAAUGGGCGAAAGCCUGACCGAGCGACGCCGCGUGGGGGAAGAAGGCCCUUGGGUUGUAAACCCCUGUCCUCAGGGACGAUCAUGACGGUACCUGAGGAGGAAGCCCCGGCUAACUACGUGCCAGCAGCCGCGGAAU